Molecule: RNA transcript, 1970 nt
Organism: Triticum aestivum (bread wheat)
Lineage: Eukaryota; Viridiplantae; Streptophyta; Magnoliopsida; Poales; Poaceae
Gene name: vegetative cell wall protein gp1
Exons: 2
Source: RefSeq, a predicted model, not a curated record
GUAAAAGAAAAACAUGCACACACGAACACGAGGGCUCGCCUUCUAUCCGUACGAGUACGACGCCGCCGCUGCCGCGGCCGCACGCGACCUCUCCGGCCAUCCGCUGAUCUCCACCUCCAUCGCACCGCCCCACCUCCUGCCACGCCCCGCCCCGCCUCACCGCGCGCUGCCGGCCCCCUGCCCCCCAUCGUCGCACGUCGCCGGCCCUCCGCCCCUCUUUGCCGCGCGUCGCCGGACCGUCUACCGUCGCCGCGCGCUGCCACCGCCUACCCCAUCAGCGCGUCUACUCCUACCCCAAGUGCCCUCACACCCGCGGCCUACCACCGCCGGCGACCCGCGGCGGCCUUCCACCGCCGGCGCCGCUCGACGCAGCGGCGACGGAUCCCCCCGCCUCUGCCACCAUGGCGCCAUCGGGACUCCUCCUCGCUGCUUCCACCUCCACAUUGAUUUCCCCAACCCCGCAGGCUUCGCCUCCAGCCACUUCUUCCCGGCGCACUCUGCCCGCCGUCGGACCCAUCCGCUGAUCUCCACUACCCCAACACCCAAUGACGAUGCAAUCCAUGUUGGCAGAGGAGGAGGUCGUUCAAUCGCCUCAACUCAUGCCAAGAGCAAACUGCAAUUCACCUUGGAAUAUGCAGUGCAAGAGAAGACACAUCGAAUACAGUUUGAAUCAGUUCAGACAGCCAGCCGCCAUUGUUGGUGAAGCUUCAGAUUGAGCUGCAGUGAAGCUGCCAAGUGAAAGAACUGCAGCAGACUAGCGGCGAAGCUAUUCAUUUUCUCGGCACCGUGAAGUUUCAUUGCCGGUCACCCCUAUAGGGGCAUAAGUAUGUGAUCCAGUGUCCAAUCUUUAUAGAUAAGUCACUAGAUGAUUAUACUAGGAAUCACUUAGGAUAUUAGUAUAUUUUUAGUUAUGCUAUCAUAUGGGCUAUCCACAGCUUAUUGUCAGAUCUAAUUAAACCAGAAGAAAAUCUACUUAAUAUAUGUUUGGCUAUGCGAUUUCAAAUUACUUUGUUUCCGGUAAAAAUACCACAUUACUAACAUAUUUUGUGAUGUUUCCCAUAGUUCUUUGCCUUCAUGAAACAACAUAUGGGUGAGGCAAUAUAUUUUCCUGUCUAUAUAUCGGCGUCUCUGUUUUUAAAAAUUGGCAUUGAGGAUCCCUUUUACAUGUUUUUUCUACACCCUGCUGGGAGCUGAAUUGCCUUUCCUAUAUAUGAACAGAUGGCAAGACAUUCAAAGCAUGGUUCCUCGCAUCUGAGCGACAGUUUUUAUGCCCUAUGCCCUUGUCCGUCUCACAUAUCUACCUUGUAUCUACAGGAAAAUAUAUAUUUUCUUUCUACUGCUAAGGCAAUCUAUCUACACGUAAUCUAUGGAUUCUUUGUAGUUCAAAUGGACUAAUCUAUAUAUUAUUUAUGCAGUACUGUUUAUUAAGUUAAAGGUACCCUUUCUAGAGAGUGAAAACUGGUGUAGGGCAGGUUAUAUGGGUAGCAAUGGCUUAUAUCCCUAAUUAUAUUCGAUUUUCUGGUUGUACGCAAUUCGCUUUCCUCAUAGGCAGAAGUAAUGGCUGAGCUAAGUUAACGGCUACAUGUUCCAGAACAAAUUGGAUCUGCAGUGUGUAGAUCGAUUGAUGAUAUUUAUUCUACUUUUAGAGAAAGGACUAAGCCCAACUUUUAAUACAAAGCUUUGAAAGAUUCUGAUAUUGCUGGGCCAGAAGCGAACAAGUGCCAUGCAUGGUGAACUGUCGCUAACUUCAGAAGAUGGAUUUAGUAGAGCUGGAGGUGUACCAGCUGUUUGAGGGAUAUCAGGUGUCAUCUACUGCAUGUGAGGCUGUUUAUUUCCUUCAUGUCAUUCAAUUUUGUCACCGGGGCCUCUUACGCCUACUCACUAGGUAAAUAACUCUGUAUCCUCAAACUCUCUCCACUGAUAGAAAAAAGCCCUUUAGUCCCGGUUCGCAAAGGCCUUUAGUCCCGGCU